This 1123-nucleotide unclassified non-coding RNA is filed under the name Leishmania donovani. Its description in RNAcentral is "gene:unknown". The record is from RNAcentral. Lineage: Eukaryota; Euglenozoa; Kinetoplastea; Trypanosomatida; Trypanosomatidae.
GCGCAGCGCUUCUUCGCUGCUCGUGCUUUCACCUCGCGCGCACGGCUCUCCGUAUGCAUCCUCUUCGCACCUCCCUAUCGUGGCGGUCGGUCGUGCUGUCUUGCCACGCUGUGUGCGUGCACGCAGCAGAGCUGGCUGCGCAGCCUGCCGUCACCUUGUCGUUCUGUGCAUCACCAGACACCCACUUACAGGCGCGUCCGCCGCUGCCGUUGCCUUCGCCCUCUUUCAGCGGUGUCCCGAGACCUCGGCGCUGCAGCAGACGUCUCUGGCACUCGCGCGCUCGUGCGAUGACUUGACGCGCGGCAUCGGCGACAAGGAAGGGGUGGCCGCCUGACCAGCGGUCGUGGAGGCGUCGAUGACGCCUCCCGCCGCCACGACGACUCGAACGGUGCGCACUGCUUCGAAGUUGCGCGGCACCGUGGCUGUGAGUGCGCUGCACGUAUACGGCGCCAUCAUAGCGCUUCGCAUCUACCUGCGGUGGCUCCUCUCUUACCGCAGCUCGAUCAGCCCAGAUAAGAUCUCGCGCUUCUAACGCUCCGCAUGCAUGCUGAUCGGGGCGCCGUGCCCGCUGGCCUCGAGAGACGCCUUCGCGUUGAGCGUGAGCGUCGACGACUUGGGGGCUCGCGACCGCGUCAGCAUUAUCGCGCAUAGCCUUUUCUUUGCUGGCGCUGCCCGUGGGAGGCCUCCUCUGGUUCCCCGACGCUGACAUCCAAAGCAGCGUGAUGUGCGACAUCACCUACACCGCGUUUGAGGUCAAGAUACGCUCUUCGGCGGAGGCGCGACUCUCCUUCACCAUUUCUGCCGACCCCCACGGUGCUGAACAGCCCGCAGAGCGCUCUGAACUGGAUGGCGGGGAGGGUGCGAUGUGGCCGAGGGGCAAAUACGUCGAACGGUGCCGUCAGCGUCCCGAUGCAUACGGGCUGCUGUGGCGGAAGCUCUCCGGCGAGGGGUACGCGGUACUUGCCGCGCCUGCGAACGACUGCGUGUCGGAUCUGCCUCUCUCUCUCUCUCGCCCACUGUCGGCGUGCAUGUGCUUGCGUGUUUGCUGGCGCGACGCGGGCUUGGUAUGACAACCGCGGCUGCUGCCCUCCCCCCCUGCUGCGCAUGAAGGGGGGUACCAUUG